GGAAUGAGUGGCUGCAUGGGGCUGAGUUGCCGUCUGCGGUUAAACCCCAACACUUAUCAAAGUUUUCGAAGUCAAGCUGGUGGUCUAAGAGCUUUAUCUGGAUCAAUCCAGACUGAGUUACAGCCUUCCAACAAGUCAGCAGACAGAUGCUAUAUCACUGCAAUGGACUACGUGUCGUCUUAACCUUGCCAAAAGAUAAGGUAAAUGGCUUCAGUUUGAAGUGGAAUAUUGCAAUCUGUCAUCAUCCUAAGUCCUUUCAUAUGAAGAAGUAUGGUGUUAAUUCUGAUGGUUUCUUCCUCCUCUCUCCAGGAUUUACUUAGGGCUAUUUUUAUGCCUUUGUUAAACCCAGUUUGCAGUUUGAGCUUUCUUAUGUGGUCUGUAAUCAUUUCAUACAUAUAGCGCAUUUUAUAUAUAUGUAUAUAUAUAUAUAUAUACACAGUUUAGUUUUUCUUUGUUCUCUUUAUGAACAACCCCCCAAAACAGCUCCUGUGUCUGUAUUUGUUUGAGUUGUUUAUAGCCCUGGUGUCUGGAGUCUGUGUUCUGACUCUCUACCAUCUCAUACUUGUACUUCUAUCUAUGCAGAAAUUGCAACUACACUGUACAAACGUAAGUGAAAGUAAAACAAAUUGGGCGUAGCUCCAGUCACUGGAAAAGUUGCUGUUACAGACAAAUCAAAUAAAAGCAAAGUUCCAGGCACGUUGAAGCAAAUUCAGACAGAGUAAACUUUGCAAACAUCAGUCCACAGGCUCCAUAAGUCACUACACAGCCUGUUGCUGAAAAUGUCAACCGUGUAUUUACUGGACUACAGAGCUAAGAAGUCCUAGUUCACAAACGGAAAUCACAAAUCACACCUGGUAUUGUUAAAGGUAUAUUCAGUUUUAAAGUUAUCAGAGGAUAGAAAGCCUGAACCAUCAAGAAUUACUGAACAAAAGGACACCUAGAGGACAACCUGGAGGACCCCGACUGACAAAUUUAAGCUACUGGAAGACAGCUUUGGACUCUGAUUGCUUUCUGUGAUGCUCUGCUGUAUUUUUAUAACUGCCAUGUUUUGAUUAGACUGUUAGAAUUAUUUUAAUUGACUGAGUUCUUGGAUUCUCAAAUAAAAUGUGUUCCUUUCAUGCUCAU
Long non-coding RNA from Myiozetetes cayanensis, 1125 nucleotides. RefSeq lists it as uncharacterized. The record is from RefSeq and is a predicted model, not a curated record. Lineage: Eukaryota; Metazoa; Chordata; Aves; Passeriformes; Tyrannidae. The transcript has 3 exons.